Molecule: ribosomal RNA, 253 nt
Filed under: uncultured bacterium
Lineage: Bacteria
Description: partial 16S ribosomal RNA
Rfam family: Bacterial small subunit ribosomal RNA
Source: RNAcentral
UACGAAGGGGGCUAGCGUUGCUCGGAAUUACUGGGCGUAAAGGGCGCGUAGGCGGCGACCCAAGCCAGAUGUGAAAGUCCUGGGCUUAACCUGGGGACUGCAUUUGAUACUGGGUUGCUUGAAUUCGGGAGAGGAUAGCGGAAUUCCCAGUGUAGAGGUGAAAUUCGUAGAUAUUGGGAAGAACACCGGUGGCGAAGGCGGCUAUCUGGACCGACAUUGACGCUGAGGCGCGAAAGCGUGGGGAGCAAACAGG